Molecule: ribosomal RNA, 567 nt
Filed under: Acroneuria lycorias
Lineage: Eukaryota; Metazoa; Arthropoda; Insecta; Plecoptera; Perlidae
Description: partial 16S ribosomal RNA
Rfam family: Bacterial large subunit ribosomal RNA
Source: RNAcentral
UCGCCUGUUUAUCAAAAACAUGUCUUCUUGGGUUAAAAAUAUGAAGUCUGACCUGCCCACUGAAUAUGAAUUUUGAAGGGCCGCGGUAUUUUGACCGUGCAAAGGUAGCAUAAUCAUUAGUCUUUUAAUUGGAGGCUGGAAUGAAUGGUUGGACGAGGCACUGACUGUCUCAUUUUGAUUGAGGUUAAAAUUUAACAUUUGAGUGAAAAGGCUUAAAUGUUUUUAAAGGACGAGAAGACCCUAUAGAGCUUGAUAUUAAACUGUAUAUAAAUUAUUUAGAUGUUUAUGUUUUUUAUGGGGUUUAGUAUUUUAUUGGGGUGAUAGGAAGAUAAGAAAAACUCUUUUUAGUGAAGUUUGUACAUUGAUUUAUGAUUUAUUGAUCCGUUCAUAGCGAUUAUAAGACUAAGUUACCUUAGGGAUAACAGCGUAAUCUUUUUUGAGAGUUCUUAUCGACAAGAAGGGUUGCGACCUCGAUGUUGGAUUAAGGUAAAAUUUGGGUGUAGAUGUUCAAAUUUUUAGGUCUGUUCGACCUUUAAAUCCUUACAUGAUCUGAGUUCAAACCGGAGA